ACGCUCAAACCUUUCAAGGGAGGAGCCUGACGCCAAAUCAGUGACUUUCUCCCAGAUUCCUAGGGGUGAUUCACUUCUACUUUCUGACCAAAACUACUGCGAAGAAAUGAGAGAUUAUUCAUUCUUUUAAACACGUUCUUCUUCUUUCGCCGUGGGUGGAAAAACAAGACUCGAGAGGGACUACUUGCUUCAGUUCAUUUGAUUAUAAGGUGCACAUCCUACCAUCCACCACUAGGAGAUUUCCUUUUCUGAAAACCGACAAGGCAACUAAUUUCACGACAUUGUUACCUAGGUGCACAUCCUACCAUCCACCACUAGGAGAUUUCCUUUUCUGAAAACCGAC
RNAcentral lists this unclassified non-coding RNA (343 nucleotides) under Limulus polyphemus (Atlantic horseshoe crab). RNAcentral describes it as "twist-related protein-like, transcript variant X2". Lineage: Eukaryota; Metazoa; Arthropoda; Merostomata; Xiphosura; Limulidae. The record is from RNAcentral.